RNAcentral lists this ribosomal RNA (438 nucleotides) under uncultured bacterium. RNAcentral describes it as "bacterial SSU rRNA". It matches the Rfam family "Bacterial small subunit ribosomal RNA", at positions 352 to 782 of the family's 1533-position model. The record is from RNAcentral.
CAGUGGGGAAUUUUGGACAAUGGGGGCAACCCUGAUCCAGCAAUGCCGCGUGCAGGAAGAAGGCCUUCGGGUUGUAAACUGCUUUUGUACGGAACGAAAAGGCUCUGGUUAAUACCUGGGGCACAUGACGGUACCGUAAGAAUAAGCACCGGCUAACUACGUGCCAGCAGCCGCGGUAAUACGUAGGGUGCAAGCGUUAAUCGGAAUUACUGGGCGUAAAGCGUGCGCAGGCGGUGCUGUAAGACAGGCGUGAAAUCCCCGGGCUUAACCUGGGAAUGGCGCUUGUGACUGCAGUGCUGGAGUGUGGCAGAGGGGGAUGGAAUUCCGCGUGUAGCAGUGAAAUGCGUAGAUAUGCGGAGGAACACCGAUGGCGAAGGCAAUCCCCUGGGCCUGCACUGACGCUCAUGCACGAAAGCGUGGGGAGCAAACAGGAUUAGA